RNAcentral lists this ribosomal RNA (346 nucleotides) under uncultured bacterium. Its description in RNAcentral is "partial 16S ribosomal RNA". It matches the Rfam family "Bacterial small subunit ribosomal RNA", at positions 338 to 681 of the family's 1533-position model. The record is from RNAcentral.
CCUACGGGAGGCAGCAGUGAGGAAUAGUGGUCAAUGGGCGCGAGCCUGAACCAGCCAAGUAGCGUGAAGGAUGACUGCCCUACGGGUUGUAAACUUCUUUUAUAAAGGAAUAAAGUGAGGCACGUGUGCCGUUUUGUAUGUACUUUAUGAAUAAGGAGCGGCUAACUCCGUGCCAGCAGCCGCGGUAAUACGGAGGAGCCGAGCGUUAUCCGGAUUUAUGGGGUUUAAAGGGAGCGUAGAUGGGUUGUUAAGUCAGUUGUGAAAGUUUGCGGCUCAACCGUAAAAUUGCCUUUGAUACUGGCAGUCUUUAGUACAGUUGCGGUAGGCGGCUUUCGUGGUGUCGCUG